Molecule: unclassified non-coding RNA, 149 nt
Filed under: uncultured Rozellomycota
Lineage: Eukaryota; Fungi; Rozellomycota
Description: uncultured Cryptomycota sequence contains ITS2
Source: RNAcentral
AUCCCUUUGAUCCCCUGGGUCAGCCAUCGUUGCUGAUCCGUGUUGGUCGAGACAUGGACCUUCAUCACUGAUCGUCUUCAAUUCAGACACGGGUUGUUCGUGAGAGGGGAAGCCAUUUCUAUUGAUCGACAGCCUGCUCAUCGUCACUU